UACGUAGGGGGCAAGCGUUGUCCGGAUUUAUUGGGCGUAAAGCGCUCGCAGGUGGUUCAUUGCGUCGUGCGUGAAAGACCCAGGCUCAACUGGGGAGGGUCGUGCGAAACGGGUGAACUAGAGGCCAGUAGGGGGAUGUGGAAUUCCGGGUGUAGUGGUGGAAUGCGUAGAGAUCCGGAGGAACACCAGCGGCGAAGGCGGCAUCCUGGACUGGUCCUGACACUCAGGAGCGAAAGCGUGGGGAGCGAUCCGG
RNAcentral lists this ribosomal RNA (253 nucleotides) under uncultured bacterium. Its description in RNAcentral is "partial 16S ribosomal RNA". It matches the Rfam family "Bacterial small subunit ribosomal RNA", at positions 524 to 776 of the family's 1533-position model. The record is from RNAcentral.